This 402-nucleotide ribosomal RNA is filed under the name uncultured bacterium. RNAcentral's name for it is "bacterial SSU rRNA". It matches the Rfam family "Bacterial small subunit ribosomal RNA", at positions 355 to 748 of the family's 1533-position model. The record is from RNAcentral.
UGGGGAAUAUUGGGCAAUGGGCGAAAGCCUGACCCAGCGAUGCCGCGUGGGUGAUGAAGGCCUUCGGGUUGUAAAACCCUUUCGUGCGGAAAGAAUAGUCCUGUAGCGAAUAACUACGGGAUUUGACGGUACCGCAGGAAGAAGCACCGGCUAACUCCGUGCCAGCAGCCGCGGUAAUACGGAGGGGGCAAGCGUUGUCCGGAUUUAUUGGGCGUAAAGGGCGCGAAGGGGGUUGUGAUAGUCAGAUGUGAAAUCCUUCGGCUCAACCGAAGAAGUGCAUCUGAAACUUCAUAGCACGAGUACAGGGGAGGGAAACGGAAUUCCCGGUGUAGAGGUGGAAUUCGUAGAUAUCGGGAGGAACACCAGUGGCGAAGGAGGUUUCCUGGCCUGAUACUGACGCUG